Molecule: transfer RNA, 69 nt
Filed under: Bitias brevis
Lineage: Eukaryota; Metazoa; Arthropoda; Malacostraca; Decapoda; Pandalidae
Description: tRNA-Cys
Rfam family: tRNA
About the family: Transfer RNA (tRNA) molecules are approximately 80 nucleotides in length. Their secondary structure includes four short double-helical elements and three loops (D, anti-codon, and T loops).
Source: RNAcentral
AGGCUUUGUAGUGUAAAUUAGCACGUUAGAUUGCAAAUUUGAAGGUGUGGUGAAGACUACCUUAGCUUA